AUGGGCAAAGGUAAUGUGCAUUCAGGUGCAUUUAGUUUGCAUCUGAGAUCAGUUUGAGACUGUUUAGGGCAGGGGUAGGCA
This is a long non-coding RNA of Nanorana parkeri, 81 nucleotides long. RefSeq lists it as uncharacterized. The record is from RefSeq and is a predicted model, not a curated record. The transcript has 3 exons. NCBI's taxonomy places the organism in Eukaryota, Metazoa, Chordata, Amphibia, Anura, Dicroglossidae.